UGCGCAGGCGGACUUUUAAGUCAGUGGUGAAAUCCCGAGGCUCAACCUCGGAACUGCCAUUGAUACUGGAAGUCUUGAAUUUGGUUGAAGUGGGCGGAAUGUAGCAUGUAGCGGUGAAAUGCUUAGAUAUGCUACAGAACACCGAUCGCGAAGGCAGCUCACUAAGCCAAUAUUGACGCUCAGGCACGAAGGCGUGGGGAGCAAACAGGAUUAGAUACCCUGGUAGUCC
This 229-nucleotide ribosomal RNA is filed under the name uncultured bacterium. Its description in RNAcentral is "partial 16S ribosomal RNA". It matches the Rfam family "Bacterial small subunit ribosomal RNA", at positions 568 to 796 of the family's 1533-position model. The record is from RNAcentral.